This 419-nucleotide long non-coding RNA is filed under the name Ananas comosus (pineapple). RNAcentral's name for it is "long non-coding RNA (ACOM_LNC020099)". The record is from RNAcentral. Lineage: Eukaryota; Viridiplantae; Streptophyta; Magnoliopsida; Poales; Bromeliaceae.
UUAAAAGUUGUUGACUUAUGAAUACGCAGUCCACUCUCCACCCCUAAUACCGCUUGCUGCUGUACAUACAAAAUAGUUACACAACAAUCAAAAAUUCACUCUAACCCGAUUAAAAAAUUAAUUCACAAUGAGGUCUCUGAAAUUACUGAGACAAAAUUACUGAAUAUAUUGAAAAUUUCACUCAAUGUUUCACUUCUGCAGCCGAUACACCAACCCUUUCUUUCAAAGUGAUCUUGGCUGUGUUGAGUCGACGCAGUGGCUGAGGCGGCUGCUGCUGCAGCGGCGGAGGUGGUGGAGGAAGGGACUUCCGAAAGCGUCGAAGGUGAGCGAGAAGCGGCGAAGGGGCAAAGAGGGUGGUGGUGAAUAGAUGGACGAAAGAAAAAAAAAAUAGAGAGUAGGAAAUGGAGGGGCGGAUGGAA